Molecule: long non-coding RNA, 815 nt
Organism: Oxyura jamaicensis (ruddy duck)
Lineage: Eukaryota; Metazoa; Chordata; Aves; Anseriformes; Anatidae
Exons: 2
Source: RefSeq, a predicted model, not a curated record
CUCCCCCAGGGGGGUUCAGCCUGGCAACGCAUUCAGCUGCAGGUGGAACUUGCACCCGGCGCUUGUUCCCGAGACCUGCCAUGGAGACCAUCGCCGAGCAACCCGGCCGCUCAGCGGAGCGGUUUGCACGGUCCCAGCAGCCCGACCGGGCCCUUCCACUGCUCCGCUCGUGUCUGGGCCUCAGGCGACAAACACACACCCAGCCAGAGCUGUUUCUCAACGCCUGGCGGCCCCCUGGGAGACCACGCAUCAAUUGCUUAGGAAUUACAUUUUCAAUCACGUCUGGGAGGUUUUCUCGCUCGGCAUCCGAGAAGCCUUGGGGUAAAGCUCUCCCACCGGCGUGCUGCUAUUUCUCACCGGGUUGCUGCUCAGUUCCCUGUAACAUGGCUGAAGCGAAGCCCCACUCCUUGGUGCCAAAAAUACCACAACCGCCAGACAAGGAGAGGCUGGGGGCGGUGGGACCGCGGAGCCUGCAGAGGAGAGCAGCUUCAUUCGGUUUCAAACAACAGCACCUCGUGGUCCCGCAGCCUGAGUUGAGGACUCCUGCAGCGUGCUCGUGCAGUGCUCAGAGCGCCCGGAGAGCUCGCCCUGGGCCACACCAAAGCCCUGCGGAGCUCCGUGCCCCAUCCAGGGCAGGAGGACCACUGCCAGCCCCUGGCCCUCCCAGCUUUUCGGGCAGAUCUUCAAACCCGGAGCUGUUACGGGUGUGUUUACAGUCCCUUAAGAAUAUCAGUUUGCCCCGGGAUGCACAGUGGCCAGAAUUUCCCCUACUUCCCAGCAGAGCUGCAUAAACAGGACACAAUUAUCUUGUAAAA